GAGGGUAUAGCUCAAGUGGUAGAGUGCAUGCUUAGCACGCAUGAGGUCCUGGAUUCAAUCCCCAGUACCUCCA
RNAcentral lists this transfer RNA (73 nucleotides) under Camelus bactrianus (Bactrian camel). It matches the Rfam family "tRNA". Rfam says of the family: Transfer RNA (tRNA) molecules are approximately 80 nucleotides in length. Their secondary structure includes four short double-helical elements and three loops (D, anti-codon, and T loops). Further hydrogen bonds mediate the characteristic L-shaped molecular structure. tRNAs have two regions of fundamental functional importance: the anti-codon, which is responsible for specific mRNA codon recognition, and the 3' end, to which the tRNAs corresponding amino acid is attached (by aminoacyl-tRNA synthetases). tRNAs cope with the degeneracy of the genetic code in two manners: having more than one tRNA (with a specific anti-codon) for a particular amino acid; and 'wobble' base-pairing, i.e. permitting non-standard base-pairing at the 3rd anti-codon position. RNAcentral also lists the same sequence under 2 other names. Lineage: Eukaryota; Metazoa; Chordata; Mammalia; Artiodactyla; Camelidae. The record is from Rfam by way of RNAcentral.